UUAAAGGAAUUGACGGAAGGGCACCACCAGGAGUGGAGCCUGCGGCUUAAUUUGACUCAACACGGGUAACUUCACCAGGUCCGGACGUGAUUGCGAUGGACAGAUCGAUAGCUCUUUCUAGAUCUCACGGAUGGUGGUGCAUGGCCGUUCUUAGUUCGUAGAGCGAUUUGUCUGGUUAAUUCCGAUAACGAGCGAGACUCUACCUUACUAACUAAGACGUACGAUAUACACGAGGUCUGUUGCCCUACACGUUGUUGCUCGCCCACCACCCUCUGGGUGCGUGGGUGUUGUAUUCGGCGUUAGGGCACGGUCCAUACUAUCGGCGCAAAUAUUUUCUUCUUAGAAGAACAAGCUAUAUAUAGUAGCACGAGAGAGAGCAAUAACAGGUCUGUGAUGCCCUUAGAUGUCCUGGGCCGCACGCGUGCGACAAUGAAAGAGACAAUAGGUAUCCUAGGCCGAAAUGUCUGGGUAAUCCUAGCAAUCUCUUUCGUGUUGGGGAUUGGGGCUUGAAAGUGCUUCCCAUGAACGAGGAAUUCCCAGUAAGCGUAGUUGAUCAAUCUACGCUGAUUGAGUCCCUGCCCUUUGUACACACCGCCCGUCGCUACCUCCGAUGAGCGGGCUAGCGAGAUCUUCGGACCGGCGCCUUGAAAGAGGUCGUUACCGGAAAGUCGAUCAAACUUGCCCGUUUAGAGGAAGUAAAA
Molecule: ribosomal RNA, 701 nt
Filed under: Radama sp. JP-2014
Lineage: Eukaryota; Metazoa; Arthropoda; Insecta; Coleoptera; Staphylinidae
Description: bacterial SSU rRNA
Rfam family: Eukaryotic small subunit ribosomal RNA
Source: RNAcentral